This 1001-nucleotide small RNA is filed under the name Arabidopsis thaliana (thale cress). RNAcentral's name for it is "ATSL159110". Lineage: Eukaryota; Viridiplantae; Streptophyta; Magnoliopsida; Brassicales; Brassicaceae. The record is from RNAcentral.
AAAAAUGAUAAUUUUAGGAAAAAUUACAACAUAUACCAUAUUUUUUCAAAUCCUUAUGCAAUCUGCCAUAAUUUGCUGGGCCUUACAACUCAUGCCACAUUUCAUACUGAAAUGUCGAUUUUGUCCCUUUCCAUAUCCUUCUCUAUUUUAUCUCUCCUUCCUCGAAAUCUGUGCGCUUUAACCAUACAUUAUUAUCUUCCCGAAGACGAAACGCUUUUGUCUCUCUCUCACUUUUCCUGACAACCUGCACAUAUUCUUUACAUGUAACUUUCAAUUAAAUUUGUCUCCCAAUUUUAUUCAUCAUAAUAUUUCUGUUGUAUCUAGAUCUUGUCCCGAUCCAAUUCUAUUACUCAUUCGAUAUUAUUAAAAUAUGUUAAAUUGUAGGUGAAGACAAUAACGCUCAACUAAUCUGUGGACCAAAAUAGAUGGCGAAAAUCUAAAUAAAAUUCAAAAUUCUUAAAUAAGAACAAUUGCAUAUAAGAUGUAGGAUUCAUAAUAAUAGAGCAAGAUGAUGAAAUCGAGGACAAAACGUAGAUGCAACAGACAAUUUCUAUUCAGAGACAAGAUCUGGAGACUAAAACAAAAGUCUUGCUCCAAUUGUUCUCCGUUAACAGGUAAUCAUGUCCCCUAAUGCAUUAUAUAUUACAUUGUCCCCCGCUAUCAGGUAAUCAUGUCUCCUAAUGUAUUAUAUAUUACGUUGCCCCCCCUAGAAUUUUGGAUAACCAAUAUGUUUAAACAAGUCAUUUUUAAAUACCCAAUAACAACAGUAGAAGCCAGCUGUUCUCCACUAUUCUUUCCCCUAAUCCUUUAUGCUUCCACCAUGAUUUUUCGUCCUGUAUCAUCACAUCAGCCAAAAGCUGAUAUGUCGCCAUCUUCGUCAGAGCGCUGUCCCACUUUAAGGGUAAUUUCGUCCAUUAUGAUUAUUUUUUUACUCUUGACCCUGUGCAGAGCACAUGAUUAAACUAGUGAACUAAUAAAUUGUUUUGGUUUGGAAUUUAAUC